CAGCAGCCGCGGUAAUACGGAGGGUGCAAGCGUUAAUCGGAAUUACUGGGCGUAAAGCGCACGCAGGCGGUCUGUCAAGUCAGAUGUGAAAUCCCCGGGCUUAACAUGGGAACUGCAUUUGAAACUGGCAGGCUAGAGUCUUGUAGAGGGGGGUAGAAUUCCAGGUGUAGCGGUGAAAUGCGUAGAGAUCUGGAGGAAUACCGGUGGCGAAGGCGGCCCCCUGGACAAAGACUGACGCUCAGGUGCGAAAGCGUGGGGAGCAAACAGGAUUAGAUACCCGAGUAGUCCCUGUCUCUUAUAC
RNAcentral lists this ribosomal RNA (301 nucleotides) under uncultured bacterium. RNAcentral describes it as "partial 16S ribosomal RNA". It matches the Rfam family "Bacterial small subunit ribosomal RNA", at positions 509 to 807 of the family's 1533-position model. The record is from RNAcentral.